This 388-nucleotide ribosomal RNA is filed under the name uncultured bacterium. RNAcentral's name for it is "bacterial SSU rRNA". It matches the Rfam family "Bacterial small subunit ribosomal RNA", at positions 30 to 416 of the family's 1533-position model. The record is from RNAcentral.
AUUGAACGCUGGCGGCAUGCUUUACACAUGCAAGUCGAACGGCAGCACGGGUGCUUGCACCUGGUGGCGAGUGGCGGACGGGUGAGUAAUACAUCGGAACGUGUCCAGAAGAGGGGGAUAACGCAUCGAAAGAUGUGCUAAUACCGCAUAUGCUCUGAGGAGGAAAGUAGGGGAUCGAAAGACCUUACGCUUUUGGAGCGGCCGAUGUCUGAUUAGCUAGUUGGUGGGGUAAGGGCCUACCAAGGCGACGAUCAGUAGUUGGUCUGAGAGGACGACCAGCCACACUGGGACUGAGACACGGCCCAGACUCCUACGGGAGGCAGCAAUGGGGAAUUUUGGACAAUGGGCGCAAGCCUGAUCCAGCAAUGCCGCGUGAGUGAAGAAGGCC